Unclassified non-coding RNA from Erinaceus europaeus (western European hedgehog), 311 nucleotides. Its record names the gene 7SK. It matches the Rfam family "7SK RNA". Rfam says of the family: 7SK was discovered as an abundant small nuclear RNA in the mid-70s but a possible function has only recently been suggested. Two independent studies have found that 7SK RNA binds the CDK9/cyclin T complex (known as elongation factor P-TEFb). P-TEFb activates transcription by phosphorylating the C-terminal domain of RNA polymerase II. The record is from Ensembl. NCBI's taxonomy places the organism in Eukaryota, Metazoa, Chordata, Mammalia, Eulipotyphla, Erinaceidae.
GUAUGUGCGGGUGAUCUGGCUGCGACAUCUGUCAGUCACCCCAUCGAUCACCAGGGUUGAUUCGGCUGAUCUGGCUGAUUAGGCGGGUGUCCCCUUCUUCCCUCACUGCUCCAUGUGUGUCCCUCCCCAAAGCUGUGUACUUGGUCAAAAAGAACAGCCUUCCCCAAUAGAGACGGACUGGUCUUCAAGUACCCCUGCUAGAACCUCCAAACAAGCUCUCAAAAUAUUGACUAUAAAAAAAUAAUAAUACAUUAUUACAUACUUCCUAUAUUCACAUAUAAUUAAAUUUCAUGAAACAAUCCUUAUUCUGU